RNAcentral lists this small nuclear RNA (107 nucleotides) under Myotis brandtii (Brandt's bat). The record is from RNAcentral. Lineage: Eukaryota; Metazoa; Chordata; Mammalia; Chiroptera; Vespertilionidae.
GUGCUCGCUUCUGCAACACAUAUACUAAAAUUGGAACAAUACAGAGGAGAUUAGCAUGGCCCCUGCGCAAGGAUGAUACCCAAAUUCGUGAAACAUUCCAUAUUUAA